Molecule: ribosomal RNA, 252 nt
Filed under: uncultured bacterium
Lineage: Bacteria
Description: partial 16S ribosomal RNA
Rfam family: Bacterial small subunit ribosomal RNA
Source: RNAcentral
UACGUAGGGGGCUAGCGUUAUCCGGAAUUACUGGGCGUAAAGGGUGCGUAGGUGGUUUCUUAAGUCAGAGGUGAAAGGCUACGGCUCAACCGUAGUAAGCCUUUGAAACCGGGGAACAUGAGUGCAGGAGAGGAGAGUGGAAUUCCUAGUGUGGCGGUGAAAUGCGUAGAUAUUAGGAGGAACACCAGUUGCGAAGGCGGCUCUCUGGACUGUAACUGACACUGAGGCACGAAAGCGUGGGGAGCAAACAGG